GAGUUUGAUCCUGGCUCAGAUUGAACGCUGGCGGCAUGGCUAAAACAUGCAAGUCGAACGAGCCCGCAAGGGCAAGUGGCGAAAGGGUUAGUAAUACGAUCGAACGUACCCCGAGGUGGAGGAUAGCCGUGGGAAACUGCGGGUAAUACUCCAUGAUCUCUCCGGAGCAAAGCUUUUGCGCCUUGGGAGCGGCGAUCGUCCUAUCAGGUAGUUGGCGGGGUAAAGGCCCACCAAGCCGAAGACGGGUAGCGGGUGUGAGAGCACGGCCCGCAACAUCGGAACUGAGACACUGUCCGGACACCUACGGGUGGCUGC
Molecule: ribosomal RNA, 315 nt
Filed under: uncultured bacterium
Lineage: Bacteria
Description: bacterial SSU rRNA
Rfam family: Bacterial small subunit ribosomal RNA
Source: RNAcentral